GCGACCCCAGUCAUACGACGCGCCCCCGCCCCC
RNAcentral lists this ribosomal RNA (33 nucleotides) under Senegalia ferruginea. RNAcentral describes it as "partial 28S ribosomal RNA". Lineage: Eukaryota; Viridiplantae; Streptophyta; Magnoliopsida; Fabales; Fabaceae. The record is from RNAcentral.